AUAUUGGUCAAUGGGCGGAAGCCUGAACCAGCCAUGCCGCGUGCAGGACGACUGCCCUAUGGGUUGUAAACUGCUUUUGUCCAGGAAUAAACCUAAAUACGUGUAUUUAGCUGAAUGUACUGGAAGAAUAAGGAUCGGCUAACUCCGUGCCAGCAGCCGCGGUAAUACGGAGGAUCCGAGCGUUAUCCGGAUUUAUUGGGUUUAAAGGGUGCGUAGGCGGCCUAUUAAGUCAGGGGUGAAAUACGGUGGCUCAACCAUCGCAGUGCCUUUGAUACUGAUGGGCUUGAAUCCAUUUGAAGUGGGCGGAAUAAGACAAGUAGCGGUGAAAUGCAUAGAUAUGUCUUAGAACUCCGAUUGCGAAGGCAGCUCACUAAGCUGGUAUUGACGCUGAUGCACGAAAGCGUGGGGAUCGAACAGG
This 418-nucleotide ribosomal RNA is filed under the name uncultured bacterium. RNAcentral's name for it is "bacterial SSU rRNA". It matches the Rfam family "Bacterial small subunit ribosomal RNA", at positions 361 to 776 of the family's 1533-position model. The record is from RNAcentral.